UACCUGAAGCUGCGGGAGCGAAUGCAGAUACAGAAGGAGAUGGAGCGGCUGCGCUUCCUACUGUCGGAUCAGUCAUUGCUGCUGCUUCCUGAGUACCAUCAGCGAGUAGAGGUGCUCCGAACCCUGGGUUAUGUGGACGAGGCGGGCACUGUGAAGCUGGCAGGGCGGGUGGCUUGUGCCAUGAGCAGCCAUGAGUUGCUCCUCACUGAGCUCAUGUUUGACAAUGCACUGAGCACCCUGCGGCCUGAGGAGAUUGCUGCCUUGCUCUCUGGCCUGGUCUGCCAGAGCCCUGGGGACGCUGGGGAUCAGCUCCCAAACACCCUCAAGCAGGGAAUAGAACGUGUCCGGGCUGUGGCCAAGCGGAUUGCCCUUCUCCGAGUUGGCAGGGCUCUCAGGGACCCCUGAGGGCCUGGUGGUCCGCUGCAUUCAGCGCCUGGCUGAGAUGUGUCGCUCACUGCGGGGGGCAGCCCGCCUGGUAGGAGAGCCUGUGCUGGGUGCCAAGAUGGAGACAGCGGCUACCUUGCUACGGCGGGACAUCGUAUUUGCGGCCAGCCUCUACACCCAGUGAAUGCCCCAUGUAAAAACAUGAUGAUAAAACAGCAAA
This 604-nucleotide unclassified non-coding RNA is filed under the name Homo sapiens (human). Its description in RNAcentral is "SKI2 subunit of superkiller complex (ENSG00000225737.9)". The record is from RNAcentral. Lineage: Eukaryota; Metazoa; Chordata; Mammalia; Primates; Hominidae.